This 2923-nucleotide ribosomal RNA is filed under the name Bombilactobacillus bombi. RNAcentral's name for it is "Lactobacillus bombi 23S ribosomal RNA". It matches the Rfam family "Bacterial large subunit ribosomal RNA". The record is from RNAcentral. Lineage: Bacteria; Bacillati; Bacillota; Bacilli; Lactobacillales; Lactobacillaceae.
AGGUUAAGAUGAUAAGGGCGCACGGUGGAUGCCUAGGCACUAGGAGCCGAUGAAGGACGGAACAAACACCGAAAUGCUUCGGGGAGCUGUAAGUAAGCGAAGAACCGGAGAUAUCCGAAUGGGGGAACCCGGCUGAGGUCAAGCUCAGUCACACAUUAAUGAAAUGAAGUAGUUAAUGUGGGGAAGACGUGGUGAACUGAAACAUCUAAGUAGCCACAGGAAGAGAAAGAAAAAUCGAUUUCCGGAGUAGCGGCGAGCGAAAAGGAAAGAGCCCAAACCAACGAGCAUGCUUGUUGGGGUAGUAGGACUGGUAGACGAGGAAAAAGGCUUGCGAUAGUCGAAGCAGUUGGGAAGCUGCACCGAAGAAAGUGACAGUCUUGUAGACGAAAUCAAGAGCACUCAACCAGGAUCCUGAGUACGGCGGGGCACGUGAAACCCCGUCGGAAUCUGGGAGGACCAUCUCCCAAGGCUAAAUACUCCCUAGUGACCGAUAGUGAACUAGUACCGUGAGGGAAAGGUGAAAAGCACCCCGGGAGGGGAGUGAAAUAGAUCCUGAAACCGUGUGCCUACAAGUAGUCAGAGCUCGUUAAAGAGUGAUGGCGUGCCUUUUGUAGAAUGAACCGGCGAGUUACGUUAAAUUGCGAGGUUAAGUUGAGAAGACGGAGCCGCAGCGAAAGCGAGUCUGAAGAGGGCGUAAAGUAGUUUGACGUAGACCCGAAACCAAGUGACCUACCCAUGUCCAGGUUGAAGGUGCGGUAAAACGCACUGGAGGACCGAACCCACGUAAGUUGAAAAUUGCGGGGAUGAGGUGUGGGUAGCGGUGAAAUUCCAAACGAACUUGGAGAUAGCUGGUUCUCUCCGAAAUAGCUUUAGGGCUAGCCUCGGGGAAGAGGAUUAUGGAGGUAGAGCACUGUUUGGACUAGGGGCCCAUCAAGGGUUACUGAAUUCAGAUAAACUCCGAAUGCCAUUAAUCUAUACCCGGGAGUCAGACUAUGAGUGAUAAGAUCCGUAGUCGAAAGGGGAACAGCCCAGAUCACCAGUUAAGGUCCCAAAAUCCAUACUAAGUGGAAAAGGAAGUGGAGCUGCAUAGACAACUAGGAUGUUGGCUUAGAAGCAGCAAUGCAUUCAAAGAGUGCGUAAUAGCUCACUAGUCGAGUGACUCUGCGCCGAAAAUGUACCGGGGCUAAGUAUGGUACCGAAACUGUGGGUGUAACUAGAAAUAGUUAUGCGAUAGGAGAGCGUUGUAAGCACGAAGAAGCCAGAUCGUGAGGACUGGUGGAGCGCUUAGAAGUGAGAAUGCCGGUAUGAGUAGCGAAAGACCAGUGAGAAUCUGGUCCACCGAAUGACUAAGGAUUCCUGGGGAAGGCUCGUCCGCCCAGGGUAAGUCGGGACCUAAGACGAGGCCGAAAGGCGUAGCCGAUGGAAAACAGGUUGAGAUUCCUGUACUGAUCAGUUCUGUUUGAGCAAUGGAGGGACGCAGGAGAUAAACGUGAGCAUGCAGCUGGAAAAGCAUGUCCAAGCAGUGAGUCUGGGAGUGAGUUAAAUGCUUACUUCUAAUAAGGACGAGCUGUGAUGGGGAGCGAAAUAUAAGUAGCGAAGCACGAGAGUCACACUGCCAAGAAAAGCUUCUAGUGAGGAACUGGUUACCCGUACCGCAAACCGACACAGGUAGUCGAGAUGAGAAUUCUAAGGUGAGCGAGUGAACUAUUGUUAAGGAACUCGGCAAAAUGGCCCCGUAACUUCGGGAGAAGGGGUGCUGGUGUAAGAGCCAGCCGCAGUGAAAAGGCCCAAACAACUGUUUAUCAAAAACACAGGUCUCUGCCAAAUCGAAAGAUGACGUAUAGGGGCUGACGCCUGCCCGGUGCUGGAAGGUUAAGAGGAGAGCUUAGCGUAAGCGAAGGUUUGAAUUGAAGCCCCAGUAAACGGCGGCCGUAACUAUAACGGUCCUAAGGUAGCGAAAUUCCUUGUCGGGUAAGUUCCGACCUGCACGAAAGGCGUAAUGAUUUGGGCACUGUCUCAACAAUAGACUCGGUGAAAUUAUAAUACCCGUGAAGAUGCGGGUUACCCGCGACAGGACGGAAAGACCCCAUGGAGCUUUACUGUAGCUUGAUAUUGAAUUUUUGUGUAACAUGUACAGGAUAGGUAGGAGCCGAAGAGGUCGGUACGCUAGUAUCGACGGAGGCGCUGGUGGGAUACUACCCUUGUUAGAUGAAGGUUCUAACCCGCGCCAUUGAAGCAUGGCGGGAGACAGUGUCAGGUGGGCAGUUUGACUGGGGCGGUCGCCUCCUAAACAGUAACGGAGGCGCCCAAAGGUUCCCUCAGAAUGGUUGGAAAUCAUUCGCAGAGUGUAAAGGCAGAAGGGAGCUUGACUGUGAGACAGACAAGUCGAGCAGGGACGAAAGUCGGGCUUAAUGAUCCGGUGGCACCGUAUGGAAGGGCCAUCGCUCAACGGAUAAAAGCUACCCUGGGGAUAACAGGCUUAUCUCCCCCAAGAGUUCACAUCGACGGGGAGGUUUGGCACCUCGAUGUCGGCUCAUCGCAUCCUGGGGCUGUAGUCGGUCCCAAGGGUUGGGCUGUUCGCCCAUUAAAGCGGUACGCGAGCUGGGUUCAGAACGUCGUGAGACAGUUCGGUCCCUAUCCGUCGCGGGCGGAGGAAAUUUGCGAGGAUCUGUCCUUAGUACGAGAGGACCGGGAUGGACAUACCGCUGGUGCACCAGUUGUUCUGCCAAGAGCAUCGCUGGGUAGCUAUGUAUGGAAGGGAUAAACGCUGAAAGCAUCUAAGUGUGAAACCCACCUCAAGAUGAGAUUUCCCAUUCAGUAAUGAAGUAAGACCCCUCAAAGAAGAUGAGGUAGAUAGGUUGCGCGUGGAAGGUUAGUGAUAAUUGGAGCGGAGCAAUACUAAUCGGUCGAGGGCUUAACCGAG